UGUGUCAGCAGUUCCUGCAAGACGAAAGCAUUGAUGCUAUAGACUGGCCUGCCUGUUCCCCAGACUUGAAUCCAAUUGAGCACAUCUGGGACAUCAUGUCUCGCUCCAUGCACCAACCCCACGUUGCACCAGACUGUCCAAGAAUUGGGGGAUGCUUUAGUUCAGGUGUGGGAGGAGAUCCCUCAAGAGACCAUCCGCCACCUCAUCAGGAGCAUGCCCAGACUUCUGGAAAGUCUGGUG
This is a non-coding RNA of Pseudonaja textilis, 240 nucleotides long. Lineage: Eukaryota; Metazoa; Chordata; Lepidosauria; Squamata; Elapidae. The record is from RefSeq and is a predicted model, not a curated record.